This 253-nucleotide ribosomal RNA is filed under the name uncultured bacterium. Its description in RNAcentral is "partial 16S ribosomal RNA". It matches the Rfam family "Bacterial small subunit ribosomal RNA", at positions 524 to 776 of the family's 1533-position model. The record is from RNAcentral.
CACGUAGGGCGCAAGCGUUGUCCGGAAUUAUUGGGCGUAAAGAGCUCGUAGGUGGUUUGCCACGUCCGCUGUGAAAUCCCAAGGCUUAACCUUGGGCUUGCAGUGGAUACGGGCAGACUAGAGGUAGGUAGGGGAGAAUGGAAUUCCCGGUGUAGCGGUGAAAUGCGCAGAUAUCGGGAGGAACACCGGUGGCGAAGGCGGGUCUCUGGGCCGAUACUGACGCUGAGGAGCGAAAGCGUGGGGAGCGAACAGG